Molecule: long non-coding RNA, 1474 nt
Organism: Cyprinus carpio (common carp)
Lineage: Eukaryota; Metazoa; Chordata; Actinopteri; Cypriniformes; Cyprinidae
Exons: 3
Source: RefSeq, a predicted model, not a curated record
AGUACUUUUACUUUUACUUGAGUACAGUUUUUGGGUACUCUACCCACCUCUGAAUGUAACUUUAAAAAUAUAUAAAUAUUACUAAGAAUAUAGCAAAAGUCAUUCAUUUAUUUUUUAUAAGUUCACUAGAGGGCUGCAAAGGACCCCUCAAUGACUCAUUUGUCAUUUCCAAAUAAAUCAGGGAUUUCCAACUCUGCUCCUGCAUGUGGGCCAUUCUUUGUAUGAGAUUACCCAGGGUUUUAUUGUUGAUGAUUUGACUUGAUCCAGGAUUGAUAGGUUCUUUGAAGCUCAUCUUGGAGUUGCUGUCAUAGCAACAGGUCCGUUAGCUCAAACCUGCUCGGGAGCAGGCUUAUUUUACAUAAACAGAAUUAGAUUGUAUCAUUUUAAGUGAAGGUAAUACUGAAAGUCUGCCCCAGCCAUCGCUCUUUUCUUUCAAGUGUACCUCAUUAAACCAGGAUUUACUUUUUUUAUAUACUUAAAAUGCUGCUUAAUCUAUAAUGAUAUAAUUAUCACAUAAUUGUAUACAUUGUGUGUGUGUGUGUGUGUGUGUGUGUGUGUGUGUGUGUGUGUGUGUGUGUGUGCACAUACAGUGCCUAUAGAAAAUCAUCAUACCCCUUUGAAAUAGUUACAACAUCAACCAAUGAAAGGUUAUUAAUAAUAAUAAUAAUAAUUAAAGCAAAUUAAUAAUAAUAAUAAUAAUAAUAAUAAUAAUAAUAAUAAUAAUAAUAGAAUAUCAGGGUUGGAAAAGUCAUCAGUCCCUUGAUUUAAUACUUCGUAGAGCCACCUUUUGCUUUAAUUACAGCCAUCAGUCUUUUAAGAUAUGUCUGUACUAGCUUUGCACACUUUGAUUGGGGGAAUAUUUGCCCAUUCUUCCUUGCAGCUUUGCUCAAGUUCAGUCAAAUUCUGUGUUGAGUGACAAUGGACUGCUCUCUUCAAAUCCAUCCACAGAUUUUCCAUUGGAUUUAAGUCAGGGCUUUGACUUGGCCACUCAAGGAAAUCACCUUCUUAUCCUUAAGCCAUUUUGUUGUUGUUUUGGCAGUAUGUUUAGGGUCGUGUUGGAAGGUGAAUGACCUGCCCAUCUUCAGCUGUCUAGCAGAGGGACGCAGGUUUUCCUCAAGAAUUUGGAUGUACUUGGCAGCAUCCAUUUUCCCUUCAAUCCUGACUAAUCGGGCCAGUCCCAGCUGAAGAGAAACACCCCCACAACAUAAUGCUAUCAUCACCAUGCUUCACAAAACUGUGGGCUUCCACGCUGAUGCACACACACAUCAACAUUCUCUAUCUACGCAUGAGAAGAGUUCAUUUGAUAAGGGAAGAGCGUGGUCUCGAAUUUAAAGACCAGACCCCUGUACUGCAAGAUAAAGCUGAAUGUGCCAGCGCUGGACAGGGAGGCCCUGACAGUGCUGCUGGAUCUUCUGAGAAGAGAAUGUCAACACGGAAGGGUGCCACAAUCCAGUGAAAAAAAAUUAUAAGCUGC